CGCGUAGGCGGCUCGGAAAGUCGGGCGUGAAAUGCCGGGGCUCAACCCCGGGACUGCGUCCGAUACUUCCGAGCUGGAGGUAGGUAGGGGAGAUCGGAAUUCCUGGUGUAGCGGUGAAAUGCGCAGAUAUCAGGAGGAACACCGGUGGCGAAGGCGGAUCUCUGGGCCUUACCUGACGUUGAGGCGCGAAAGCUAGGGGAGCGAACA
Molecule: ribosomal RNA, 207 nt
Filed under: uncultured bacterium
Lineage: Bacteria
Description: partial 16S ribosomal RNA
Rfam family: Bacterial small subunit ribosomal RNA
Source: RNAcentral